GAUGAAGAACGUAGCGAAAUGCGAUAAGUAAUGUGAAUUGCAGAAUUCAGUGAAUCAUCGAAUCUUUGAACGCACAUUGCGCCCGCCAGUAUUCUGGCGGGCAUGCCUGUCCGAGCGUCAUUUCAACCAUCAAGCCCCGGGCUUGUGUUGGGGACCUGCGUCCGACGCAGGCCCUGAAAACCAGUGGCGGGCUCGCUGUCCACACCGAGCGUAGUAACUAACCUCGCUAUGGAGUGGCGCGGGCGCCUGCCGUAAACCCCCCAAUUUCACAAGGUUGACCUCGGAUCAGGUAGGAAUACCCGCUGAACUUAAGCAUAUCAAUAAGCGGAGGA
RNAcentral lists this unclassified non-coding RNA (332 nucleotides) under soil metagenome. RNAcentral's name for it is "partial contains 5.8S ribosomal RNA, internal transcribed spacer 2, and large subunit ribosomal RNA". The stretch from base 1 to 120 matches the Rfam family "5.8S ribosomal RNA", at positions 35 to 154 of the family's 154-position model. The record is from RNAcentral.